Molecule: ribosomal RNA, 465 nt
Filed under: uncultured Alteromonadaceae bacterium
Lineage: Bacteria; Pseudomonadati; Pseudomonadota; Gammaproteobacteria; Alteromonadales; Alteromonadaceae
Description: bacterial SSU rRNA
Rfam family: Bacterial small subunit ribosomal RNA
Source: RNAcentral
CCUACGGGGGGCAGCAGUGGGGAAUAUUGCGCAAUGGGCGAAAGCCUGACGCAGCCAUACCGCGUGUGUGAAGAAGGCCUUCGGGUUGUAAAGCACUUUCAGUGGGGAGGAAAAGCUGGUGGCUAAUAUCCAUCGGCCGUGACGCUACCCACAGAAGAAGCACCGGCUAAUUCCGUGCCAGCAGCCGCGGUAAUACGGAAGGUGCGAGCGUUAAUCGGAAUUACUGGGCGUAAAGCGCACGUAGGUGGCUUGGUAAGUCGGAUGUGAAAGCCCCGGGCUCAACCUGGGAACGGCAUUCGAUACUGCUGAGCUAGAGUACGAAAGAGGGGGGUGGAAUUCCAGGUGUAGCGGUGAAAUGCGUAGAGAUCUGGAGGAACACCGGUGGCGAAGGCGGCCCCCUGGUUCGAUACUGACGCUGAGGUGCGAAAGCGUGGGGAGCAAACAGGCUUAGAUACCCCAGUAGUC